AAAUGCGAUAAGUAAUGUGCAUUGCAGAAUUCAGUGAAUCAUCGAAUCUUUGAACGCACAUUGCGCCCGCCAGUAUUCUGGCGGGCAUGCCUGUUCGAGCGUCAUUUCAACCCUCAAGCCCCCGGGUUUGGUGUUGGGGAUCGGGCUGCGGUUCUACCGCGUCCCGGCCCCGAAAUCUAGUGGCGGUCUCGCUGCAGCCUCCAUUGCGUAGUAGCUAACACCUCGCAACUGGAACGCGGCGCGGCCAAGCCGUUAAACCCCCAACUUCUGAAUGUUGACCUCGGAUCAGGUAGGAAUACCCGCUGAACUUAAGC
RNAcentral lists this unclassified non-coding RNA (314 nucleotides) under plant metagenome. RNAcentral's name for it is "partial contains 5.8S ribosomal RNA, internal transcribed spacer 2, and large subunit ribosomal RNA". The stretch from base 1 to 104 matches the Rfam family "5.8S ribosomal RNA", at positions 51 to 154 of the family's 154-position model. The record is from RNAcentral.